RNAcentral lists this long non-coding RNA (274 nucleotides) under Mytilus galloprovincialis (Mediterranean mussel). The record is from RNAcentral. Lineage: Eukaryota; Metazoa; Mollusca; Bivalvia; Mytilida; Mytilidae.
UUUGGCAUGUCUAUGAGUUUGUCCUAAAGAUUUUUAUUCAUUUAACUUUAUUUUAAAAUCAGUCGCUUCACAGGCUGUGUGAUUGUCAUGUUAAAAAGUGAACUAAGCAAUUUCAUGGUAAACUAUCGUAAAUUAAACAGUACGGACAAAUGAAUGGACAAACAGACAGAAAGAUGGACGCGUAAACCGGAAACCACAAUGUCCCCUUAAUAUCGUAAGCAUGGCUUAAACAUGUAUUUACGUUCACUUACAGUACAUAAAGUAAAUAUUAAGG